UGGAGUCAGUUGCUCUAGAAGUCGGUGCGCCAACCUCGUGAGGCAGCCGCCUAAAGAGUGACUGGUGACUGGGGUG
RNAcentral lists this ribosomal RNA (76 nucleotides) under uncultured bacterium. Its description in RNAcentral is "partial 16S ribosomal RNA". The record is from RNAcentral.